GACGAACGCUGGCGGCGUGCUUAACACAUGCAAGUCGAACGGAAAGGCCUGCUUUUGUGGGGUGCUCGAGUGGCGAACGGGUGAGUAACACGUGAGUAACCUGCCCUUGACUUUGGGAUAACUUCAGGAAACUGGGGCUAAUACCGGAUAGGAGCUCCUGCUGCAUGGUGGGGGUUGGAAAGUUUCGGCGGUUGGGGAUGGACUCGCGGCUUAUCAGCUUGUUGGUGGGGUAGUGGCUUACCAAGGCUUUGACGGGCAGCCGGCCUGAGAGGGUGACCGGCCACAUUGGGACUGAGAUACGGCCCAGACUCCUACGGGAGGCAGCAGUGGGGAAUAUUGCACAAUGGGCGGAAGCCUGAUGCAGCAACGCCGCGUGCGGGAUGACGGCCUUCGGGUUGUAAACCGCUUUCGCCUGUGACGAAGCGUGAGUGACGGUAAUGGGUAAAGAAGCACCGGCUAACUACGUG
This 467-nucleotide ribosomal RNA is filed under the name uncultured bacterium. RNAcentral's name for it is "partial 16S ribosomal RNA". It matches the Rfam family "Bacterial small subunit ribosomal RNA", at positions 28 to 507 of the family's 1533-position model. The record is from RNAcentral.